Molecule: long non-coding RNA, 703 nt
Organism: Arachis duranensis
Lineage: Eukaryota; Viridiplantae; Streptophyta; Magnoliopsida; Fabales; Fabaceae
Exons: 2
Source: RefSeq, a predicted model, not a curated record
CGCUGUUGGGUUCGUCGCACCUUCAGAUACCUCACGCAGUCAGCACCGUCCCGCCGUCAACUCCGUUGCGCCCUCAGCCACUUCGCAUGUCACCUCCGUCGAGCUCUAUCUCUGAGAAAGCAAUAGAGAAGCGUUGAAGCGUAGAAAAAAUUAAAGCCUGAAGUCCUUCGAGCUCUGAGAGAAAGCAAUAGAUUUCCUCAUUUCCAGUCUAAGCAAAAGGGCAGAAGCGUGACAGAGACAGAAGCCAGAUGACGAACACGACUCAAAAACUGUGGUGGGUUGGAAGAAGUUGUGGCUAAUCAAACAAAGGGUAGUCUCCAAGAUGCCGAGCUCGAGGAAGAAGCUGCGAUUGGUGGGCUGGAAACUUCGAGCACCAUGGCUAGAUGGUGGUGCCUGAGCGCGACAAACGGCGGCAAGAGCGCGAUAGAGUAGACAAAGACCAGGGACUGACUCCAAGCUCAAGGAAGAAGGUGUGAUUGUUGAUUGACGAAGAAUAGCGAACGAUCAAACGAUGACGACGGCGCCUGAGCGCGACAGACAGCGACAGUCCUUGUGGAGGUGGUGGAGAUGGUAGGUUUUAAGGGUUUCAACUUUGAGCUUUCUUUUUGCUUUGGUGAAUUUUGAACUAAAGAGAAGGAAACAGUUACACGUGAUUCUAAUGCUUUGUUUUUUUAAAAUUCAAAAUGAUGUUGUUUCUUGUAAA